Molecule: long non-coding RNA, 153 nt
Organism: Etheostoma spectabile (orangethroat darter)
Lineage: Eukaryota; Metazoa; Chordata; Actinopteri; Perciformes; Percidae
Exons: 3
Source: RefSeq, a predicted model, not a curated record
CAAAAGGAGAAAAAAAAACUGGCUUUGGCAUUGUUGUCAGAAAAGACAGUAUUUCAGCUUAAUAUCUGAUAACAUGUUGUGGUCAUUUUGGGAUUUAAUACAGUAAAUAUAUUACAUAUUGCACCUUACAUUUAAUGAUGCUACAAUGUUGAA